This 89-nucleotide small nucleolar RNA is filed under the name Tupaia belangeri (northern tree shrew). RNAcentral describes it as "Small nucleolar RNA SNORA42/SNORA80 family (ENSTBEG00000019933.1)". The record is from RNAcentral. Lineage: Eukaryota; Metazoa; Chordata; Mammalia; Scandentia; Tupaiidae.
GCUGGAGCAAACUGGCAUCCAUUGCCCUGGACCAUCCAUUGCCCAGUCCCUGCCUGUGGGCUGCUGGCACAGAAGUGGGUUACACAGGG